Molecule: long non-coding RNA, 925 nt
Filed under: Ananas comosus (pineapple)
Lineage: Eukaryota; Viridiplantae; Streptophyta; Magnoliopsida; Poales; Bromeliaceae
Description: long non-coding RNA (ACOM_LNC025089)
Source: RNAcentral
UUAAAAUUAAAUUUGAAUUUAAUGUACACAAUUAUAAAGUUUAAGCUAAAAUUGAUUUUUAAAUUCAAUUUUAUAAAGGUUUAUUACUUAUCAAAUUUCACUAUCUAACUUGGUAAGUAAAAAAAUUAAACAAAAAAAUAAAUAUUUGUAUAUGGUUGAUCAAAUUUGGUAAUUAGUUUGUAUUUGUUUUCUCAUAUUACCCUUAUGAAUGGUAACCUAUUGAGCAGGUAACCAGUAUACAAAAGUCAAUCUCGUCCUUAAAAUAUAAACGACUAGAUUUAAUUUACCUGAUGUAUUGAAGCAUUCCUUAUAUAAAAUAAGUAUUUUUAACCACUACAUAAACUAAGCUUCAAUUUGUUUGGUUCAUAGAUUAUGUGGCAGCGGAUGGCGUGUCCAUAUCGUAGUUAACAAAACUACCAUCGACUUCUCUUUCGGAGUAAUUUCUUCGUCGUUUCCUCUGAUACUCACCAGCUUGUUUUUUUCCUCUUGCAUAGCUUUUUUUUUUUUAUAUUUAAAUCAUUUUGCGGAGGCUUGAGAAGAAUUAAAUGGCAUAAAUAUUAAAUAUAAAAAUAUAUAAACACCGUUCUUUAACUGUUGGAGAACGGUGUUUAUCUAUUUUAUAUUUAACAAUAAACUUUCUUUUUUUGAGACAAGGAUAGCACGCUACCAGUUUUAUUCAGUAAGAAGGUGAAUUAAGCUAUAUGGGUGAGACAACAAGAGCCUCAACGUGUGGUGCGAAAAAAAAAAAAAAUGUUAACAGUUUGGCCACUCCUCUGGACUAAGUUUCUUUCACAGGUCCGUCAGCUGCUGAAUUUUGUAGAUAUCGAUUGUUGGGUCAGUUUGGAUUAUUCUGAAAAUCGCUCUAUUCCUGAAGUCCCAAAUGACCCACCAACAAUAAACUCUUUUCAAUCAAAAGGCUAGCAUA